Molecule: long non-coding RNA, 259 nt
Filed under: Homo sapiens (human)
Lineage: Eukaryota; Metazoa; Chordata; Mammalia; Primates; Hominidae
Description: HSALNT0364856
Source: RNAcentral
GCCCCUCCGAGAACCGCCAAGUUGGUACCAGCCCCUGCCGGCUGCCCUCGGUUUCCUAGGUAGGUGUUGGGAUCCGCCACGCGCGUGGGGGCCGUCGGAAGCCCACCCCUGCGGUGAUCAGGUUUUAGGACCAGUCCAAAUCUUGGAUAUGGGAGAGUCAAAACGUCAACUUUGGGUUGUGUCCUGUCGGAGUCAGUGGGGGAGUAGUUUAGCUUCUUAUAUCCUCAGUGGGCUGCCACAUCCUCUCCCCUCCCCCCAG